GGCAGUAUAGCUCUAAGUGGUCUAAAGAGGGGGUUCCUUUUGGCUGCCCCGCAUUAAAUUGCAUCGCUGGUUCAACCCCAGCUACUGCUA
Molecule: transfer RNA, 90 nt
Filed under: bacterium
Lineage: Bacteria
Description: tRNA-OTHER
Source: RNAcentral